RNAcentral lists this unclassified non-coding RNA (341 nucleotides) under soil metagenome. Its description in RNAcentral is "partial contains 5.8S ribosomal RNA, internal transcribed spacer 2, and large subunit ribosomal RNA". The stretch from base 1 to 120 matches the Rfam family "5.8S ribosomal RNA", at positions 35 to 154 of the family's 154-position model. The record is from RNAcentral.
GAUGAAGAACGCAGCGAAAUGCGAUAAGUAGUGUGAAUUGCAGAAUUCAGUGAAUCAUCGAAUCUUUGAACGCACAUUGCGCCCUUUGGUAUUCCAAAGGGCAUGCCUGUUCGAGCGUCAUUUGUACCCCCAAGCUUUGCUUGGUGUUGGGCGUCUUGUCUCUAGCUUUGCUGGAGACUCGCCUUAAAGUAAUUGGCAGCCGGCCUACUGGUUUCGGAGCGCAGCACAAGUCGCACUCUCUAUCAGCAAAGGUCUAGCAUCCAUUAAGCCUUUUUUUCAACUUUUGACCUCGGAUCAGGUAGGGAUGCCCGCUGAACUUAAGCAUAUCAAUAAGCGGAGGA